AUGGAAACAGCCACGGUACUGCCGCCGGAUGUGGCGCUAGCGCACGCGGUGACACAGCAGGCGCCUCCUACUGCUCCGGUGGCCACGGCUGCUGAUGCUCAUGCUCCGCCCACCCGAGCGUACAAGCGACUGUGGACGUCCACAAUCACUGGUGCCCCACCAGUGGUGCCAGUGGCAAUGGCUCCUACUAGCGGUGUUCCGGCUAGAGCUAGAGAAUCUCUAAUCACGUCGUCUCCCGAUCAGCUCUACCACAUGCUCCGGCUCGGGCUUAGGUGCGGGCGGGGGAACGCCGACCUGUACUCCGGCCGAGUCGACCAAUGCCAGUGCCAGGCCAAGCCACAUGGCAAACUCGUCGAGUUGGGAGUCCUCGAGAGCCUUCUUAUAAGCCUCGUUGGCCUCCGCCUUGGCUUCCACCUCAACCGCCAGUUGUGGCGAUGGAGCGCAUGGCGGAUUGGGAGCAUGCGCACACGCACUCGGAGGACUAGGAGCAUGCACAAGAGCGGCCAAGAAAGACCGACGACGUUGGUCGUGCUCGUCGACGAACCAAGCAAGGAGCUGAGCUCGGUGGCGAUGAAUCUCGGCCUCACACGCGCGGUCGGAAGCCAGAAAGAUCGACAUAGGAAUCCUAUCCGGGUUCAUAUGCCAGUUGUUCGACCAAUGGACAUCGGGCCAUGGCACAGGGUUGGCCUCCUCCCAGUACCGCUGGCACUAGUCGACCCGACUGGCGUCACAAUGAGGGGUGCCGCGCGGCGGCGGCGCCCUGAGGAAGAGUCGGCCUCAUGGUCGUGCUUCCCAGCCAUCCAGGGAAUCCACCUCCCACAACAUCGGGAGGAAGGGCCCCACCCCACUGAAAAUCAGGUGGGGAGAGGUUCCUCACUUUACGCAGCUCCGAACCCCCGGCCGCCGCAUCCUCCCUGCUGCUCGCCCAGUCGCCCCCCGCCGUCCCGCCGGAACCCCGCUGGCUCCAUCUGGACUGCGGGUCCCGCCACGCACUGGUGGCCCUAG
RNAcentral lists this ribosomal RNA (1005 nucleotides) under Triticum aestivum (bread wheat). RNAcentral's name for it is "partial small subunit ribosomal RNA". The record is from RNAcentral. Lineage: Eukaryota; Viridiplantae; Streptophyta; Magnoliopsida; Poales; Poaceae.